This 35-nucleotide ribosomal RNA is filed under the name Lentaria patouillardii. RNAcentral's name for it is "partial 18S ribosomal RNA". RNAcentral also lists the same sequence under 3 other names. Lineage: Eukaryota; Fungi; Basidiomycota; Agaricomycetes; Gomphales; Lentariaceae. The record is from RNAcentral.
UCCGUAGGUGAACCUGCGGAAGGAUCAUUACAGUA